UUGAAAGUUAGGAACUUUAAAAAUCAAGUGAUAGUAGGACAGAGUUGUAAAGACAUGCUUCGAAUGACCGGUCAUUACUUUCAUUGGUUCAUUCAUAUUUGUAAGGGAACUGGUAGAUUGAAUAACACUAUACAUUAUAAUGUAGAAGAACAGAUUGCUAUGUUUCUACACAUUUUGGAACACAAUAUGAGAAAUCGAGCCAUUCUACAUACUUAUGAGCGAUCUGGUGAGACCGUAAAUAGGUAUUUCAGAUUAAUAUUCAAGAUACUCCUCAAGAUGCAAAAUAAAUUUAUUCAUCCACCGAAGAAUGAAACACUAAGCUAUAUUGCAAACAAUAAUAGAUUGAUGCUUUACUUCAAGGAUUGCAUUGGGGUUAUUGAUGGAACUCAUAUCCCAGUAUCAGUUGCACCUACGUAUGAGGGUAGGUUUAGGG
Telopea speciosissima is the source of this 433-nucleotide long non-coding RNA. RefSeq lists it as uncharacterized. The transcript has 2 exons. The record is from RefSeq and is a predicted model, not a curated record. Lineage: Eukaryota; Viridiplantae; Streptophyta; Magnoliopsida; Proteales; Proteaceae.